CUGGAAUGGUUCCUGACUAAAAUCUAUAUGGCCUCUGGAUUGGACUGCGGCCGAUCAGGCUGUUGGUGAGGUAAUGGCCCACCAAACCUGUAACCGGUACGGGCUCUGAGAGGAGGAGCCCGGAGAUGGGCACUGAGACAAGGGCCCAGGCCCUAUGGGGCGCAGCAGGCGCGAAACCUCUGCAAUAGGCGAAAGCCUGACAGGGUUACUCUGAGUGACUUUCGCUAAGAAAGUCUUUUGGCACCUCUAAAAAUGGUGCAGAAUAAGGGGUGGGCAAGUCUGGUGUCAGCCGCCGCGGUAAUACCAGCACCCCGAGUGGUCGGGACGAUUAUUGGGCCUAAAGCGUCCGUAGCCGGUUCUGCAAGUCCCCCGUUAAAUCCAGCUGCUCAACAGAUGGGCCGCGGAGGAUACUACAGAGCUAGGAGGCAGGAGAGGCAAGCGGUACUCAGUGGGUAGGGGUAAAAUCCGUUGAUCCAUUGAAGACCACCAGUGGCGAAGGCGGCUUGCCAGAAUGCGCUCGACGGUGAGGGAUGAAAGCUGGGGGAGCAAACCGGAUUAGAUACCCGGGUAGUCCCAGCCGUAAACGAUGCAGACUCGGUGAUGGGUUGGCUUCGCGCUAACCCAGUGCCGCAGGGAAGCCGUUAAGUCUGCCGCCUGGGGAGUACGGUCGCAAGACUGAAACUUAAAGGAAUUGGCGGGGGAGCACCACAAGGGGUGAAGCCUGCGGUUCAAUUGGACUCAACGCCGGU
RNAcentral lists this ribosomal RNA (749 nucleotides) under uncultured archaeon. Its description in RNAcentral is "bacterial SSU rRNA". It matches the Rfam family "Archaeal small subunit ribosomal RNA", at positions 170 to 922 of the family's 1478-position model. The record is from RNAcentral.